AUUGAACGCUGGCGGCAGGCCUAACACAUGCAAGUCGAGCGGAUGAAGGGAGCUUGCUCCUGGAUUCAGCGGCGGACGGGUGAGUAAUGCCUAGGAAUCUGCCUGGUAGUGGGGGAUAACGUCCGGAAACGGGCGCUAAUACCGCAUACGUCCUGAGGGAGAAAGUGGGGGAUCUUCGGACCUCACGCUAUCAGAUGAGCCUAGGUCGGAUUAGCUAGUUGGUGGUGUAAAGGCCUACCAAGGCGACGAUCCGUAACUGGUCUGAGAGGAUGAUCAGUCACACUGGAACUGAGACACGGUCCAGACUCCUACGGGAGGCAGCAGUGGGGAAUAUUGGACAAUGGGCGAAAGCCUGAUCCAGCCAUGCCGCGUGUGUGAAGAAGGUCUUCGGAUUGUAAAGCACUUUAAGUUGGGAGGAAGGGCAGUAAGUUAAUACCUUGCUGUUUUGACGUUACCAACAGAAUAAGCACCGGCUAACUUCGUG
This 484-nucleotide ribosomal RNA is filed under the name uncultured bacterium. RNAcentral's name for it is "partial 16S ribosomal RNA". It matches the Rfam family "Bacterial small subunit ribosomal RNA", at positions 30 to 507 of the family's 1533-position model. The record is from RNAcentral.